Molecule: ribosomal RNA, 248 nt
Filed under: Megasphaera stantonii
Lineage: Bacteria; Bacillati; Bacillota; Negativicutes; Veillonellales; Veillonellaceae
Description: partial 16S ribosomal RNA
Rfam family: Bacterial small subunit ribosomal RNA
Source: RNAcentral
UACGGGAGGCAGCAGUGGGGAAUCUUCCGCAAUGGGCGAAAGCCUGACGGAGCAACGCCGCGUGAGCGAAGACGGCCUUCGGGUUGUAAAGCUCUGUUAUACGGGACGAACGGGAGAGUGGUUAAUACCCAUUUUCAGUGACGGUACCGUAAGAGAAAGCCACGGCUAACUACGUGCCAGCAGCCGCGGUAAUACGUAGGUGGCAAGCGUUGUCCGGAAUUAUUGGGCGUAAAGGGCGCGCAGGCGGU